UGGAUUGCCCAGAACUCCCUUUGUCCAAAAUCACCCCGGCAUGUCCAAAGUGCAGCACUCCGGCAUUUGCAAGACUGCACAUCCAAACAUUCCCUCCUGAUACACCAAUGCUGGUCAGGGAAUGUUUGGAUGUGUAGUGAUGCAAGUGCCGGAGGGUUGCAUUUGGGCCGCUGUAACCCGCUUGUGUUGUGUGGACUGUUGUAUGUACCUCUUUUUUCAGCCCCAGGGUGACACUAUCACCCAUACCUGGAAGCUUAAACUGUUCUCUUCCACCGGUCCUGCGGUGUAUCUUCCCAAGUGGCGUGGAUGUGAGGAGACACGACAUUUCACCUGAUGUUCCAUGGGUGACCCUACUGGUGAUGUGGACCUGACCCUCCGCCAUGUAGCAGACAACCCCCUCAGCCCCAGGGUGACACUAUCACCCAUACCUGGAAGCUCAAACUGUUCUCUUCCACAGGUCCUGCGGUGUAUCUUCCCAAGUGGCGUGGAUGUGAGGAGACACGACAUUUCACCUGAUGUUCCAUGGGUGACCCUACUGGUGAUGUGGACCUGACCCUCCGCCAUGUAGCAGACAACCCCCUCAGGUGAGAUGCAAUUGACCAACAAAACUCCCUUGUCCAAAAUCACCCUGGCAUGUCCAAAGUGCAGCCCUCCGGCAUUUGCAAGACUGCACAUCCAAACAUUCCCUGAAACAGCAAUGCUGGAGCGGGGAAUGUUUGGAUGUGUAGUGAUGCAAGUGCAGGAGGGUUGCAUUUGGACCCACUGUUCCCCGCUUGUGUUGUGUGGACUGUUGUAUGUACCUCUUUUUUCAGCCCCAGGGUGACACUAUUACCCACAUCUGGUAGCUCAUACUGUUCUCUUCCACAGGUCCUGCGGUGUAUCUUCCCAAGUGGCGUGGAUGUGAGGAGACACGACAUUUCACCUGAUGUUCCAUGGGUGACCCUACUGGUGAUGUGGACCUGACCCUCCGCCAUGUAGCAGACAACCCCCUCAGGUCUUCCGGUGUAUCCUUCCUAAGUGGCGUGGAUGUGAAGAGACAGUUCCCCUGAUGUUCCCUGGGCAAUCUACUUACGUACAAUUCAACUGCAUUACAAAUUUUAAUAAAAACCACAGGAAACUUCUAUUUUUAAAAGUUUAUUGAAGAAAAAUUUUUUUUAAUAAAGU
This is a long non-coding RNA of Pseudophryne corroboree (corroboree frog), 1164 nucleotides long. RefSeq lists it as uncharacterized. NCBI's taxonomy places the organism in Eukaryota, Metazoa, Chordata, Amphibia, Anura, Myobatrachidae. The record is from RefSeq and is a predicted model, not a curated record. The transcript has 3 exons.